This 393-nucleotide ribosomal RNA is filed under the name uncultured bacterium. RNAcentral's name for it is "partial 16S ribosomal RNA". It matches the Rfam family "Bacterial small subunit ribosomal RNA", at positions 523 to 918 of the family's 1533-position model. The record is from RNAcentral.
AUACGGAGGAUGCGAGCGUUACCCGGAUUUAUUGGGUUUAAAGGGUGCGUAGGCUGUGCGUUAAGUCAGGGGUGAAAUGCCGUCGCUCAACGACGGAGCUGCCCUUGAUACUGGCGUGCUGGAGUACGGAUGCCGUUGGAGGAAUGAGUGGUGUAGCGGUGAAAUGCUUAGAUAUCACUCAGAACACCGAUUGCGAAGGCAUCUGACGAAUCCGUCACGGACGCUGAGGCACGAAAGCGUGGGAAUAGAACAGGAUUAGAUACCCGGGUAUUCCACGCCGUAAACGAUGAUGACUAACCGUCGGCGAUAGACAGCCGGUGGCCAAGCUAAAGCGAUAAGUCAUCCACCUGGGGAGUACGUCGGCAACGAUGAAACUCAAAUGAAUUGACGGGG